AUACAGGGGGUGCGAGCGUUAAUCGGAAUUACUGGGCGUAAAGAGUACGUAGGCGGUUGCUUAAGUCAGAUGUGAAAGCCCCGGGCUCAACCUGGGAACUGCAUUUGAAACUGAGUGACUAGAGUUUAAGAGAGGGGAGUAGAAUUCCGGGUGUAGCGGUGAAAUGCGUACAGAUCCGGAGGAAUACCAGUGGCGAAGGCGGCUCCCUGGCUUAAAACUGACGCUGAGGUACGAAAGCGUGGGUAGCAAACAGGAUUAGAUACCCUAGUAGUCC
RNAcentral lists this ribosomal RNA (274 nucleotides) under uncultured bacterium. RNAcentral's name for it is "partial 16S ribosomal RNA". It matches the Rfam family "Bacterial small subunit ribosomal RNA", at positions 523 to 796 of the family's 1533-position model. The record is from RNAcentral.